Molecule: transfer RNA, 70 nt
Filed under: Anaplecta sp. 3 ZQW-2020
Lineage: Eukaryota; Metazoa; Arthropoda; Insecta; Blattodea; Anaplectidae
Description: tRNA-Lys
Rfam family: tRNA
About the family: Transfer RNA (tRNA) molecules are approximately 80 nucleotides in length.
Source: RNAcentral
CAUUAGAUGGCUGAAAGAAAGUAAUGGUCUCUUAAACCAAUUCAUAGUAAUUAACGACUACUUCUAAUGA